GAAUCUUCAGUGAUCUUAACUUUACCACAUCUGAGGUUCUUAGUGGGUGAAAUUGGUGAAAUUUCUUGUGAAAAAUAUAGUAAUAAUUUGUGACAUUACUUUUGGUGGCAGGAGUCAGAACAUUAUAGCACAUUGUUUUCAUGCAAAUAUGAUCAAGAUCUGCUUUGCAGAUGACUUACAUGGACCUACAUUUUAAACUUGCUUCAUUCUAGGUUGAAUUUCGUUGGAAGACUAA
RNAcentral lists this long non-coding RNA (235 nucleotides) under Mytilus galloprovincialis (Mediterranean mussel). Lineage: Eukaryota; Metazoa; Mollusca; Bivalvia; Mytilida; Mytilidae. The record is from RNAcentral.